Molecule: ribosomal RNA, 2922 nt
Rfam family: Bacterial large subunit ribosomal RNA
UAAAGCGUAUAUGGUGGAUGCCUUGGCAAUCAGAGGCGAUGAAGGACGUGCUAAUCUGCGAAAAGUGUCGAUAAGUUGAUAAGAAACUAUAUUAGUCGGCAAUUUCCGAAUGGGGUAACCUAAUACAAGUAAUUUUGUAUUAUCAUUAAUUGAAUAUAUAGAUUAAUGAAGCGAACCAGGAGAACUGAAACAUCUAAGUAUCCUGAGGAAAAGAAAUCAAUUGAGAUUCUCUUAGUAGUGGCGAGCGAAAAGAGAUUAGCUAGAAGUAUUUAAUUAAAUAAUUAUAUUAAUAGAAUAAUUUGGAAAAAUUAACGAUACAAGGUGAUAGUCCUGUAUAUGAAAAUAUUUUUAUUUAUUUACUUUAUUAAGUAGGGCGAGACACGUGAAAUCUUGUUUGAAGAUAGGGGGACCAUCCUCUAAAGCUAAAUACUACUGAUUGACCGAUAGUGAACUAGUACCGUGAGGGAAAGGUGAAAAGAACCCCGGUUAGGGGAGUGAAAUAGAACCUGAAACCGUAUACGUACAAGCAGUAGGAGCACUUUAUAUAAAGUGUGACUGCGUACCUUUUGUAUAAUGGGUCAGCGAGUUAUAUUUUGUAGCAAGGUUAACUUUUAAUAAGGUAGCCGUAGGGAAACCGAGUCUUUAAUAGGGCGUUAGUUUCAGGAUAUAGACCCGAAACCCGGUGAUCUAACUAUGAGCAGGUUGAAGAUAAGGUAAGACUUAUUGGAGGACCGAACUGACUGAUGUUGAAAAAUCAGCGGAUGACUUGUGGUUAGGGGUGAAAGGCCAAUCAAACCGGGAGAUAGCUGGUUCUCCUCGAAAACUAUUUAGGUAGUGCCUUAUGAAUUAAUCUUUAGGGGUAGAGCACUGUUUCAGUUAGGGGAUCUUCCAGAUUUACCAAUCUGACGCAAACUCCGAAUACUAAGGAAUUUUAUCAUAGGAGACACACAUUGGGUGAUAAGAUCCAAUGUGGAAAGGGAAACAGCCCAGAUCGCAAGCUAAGGUCCCUAAAUUAUGGUUAAGUGGGAAACGAAGUGAGAAGGCUAAUACAGCUAGGAUGUUGGCUUAGAAGCAGCCAUCAUUUAAAGAAAGCGUAAAAGCUCACUAGUCUAGUCAUCUUGCGCGGAAAAUUUAACGGGGCUAAAUCAUAUACCGAAGCUGCGACAAUAAUUAGUUAAUUUAAUAAUUAUUGGGUAGAGGAGCGUUCUGUAAGUCGUAGAAGGUAUAUUGUAAAAUAUGCUGGAGAUAUCAGAAGUGAGAAUGCUGACAUAAGUAACGAUAAAGUAGGUGAAAAACCUACUCGCCGAAAAACUAAGGUUUCCUACCCAACGUUAAUCGGGGUAGGGUUAGUCGAUACCUAAGAUGAGGCUGAAAAGCGUAGUUGAUGGAUAACAGGUUAAUAUUCCUGUACUUGAUAUUAAUUUAUGAUGGGAUGACGGAGAAGGUUAGAUUAUCCGAAUAUUGGAUUAUUUCGGUUUAAGUGUGUAGGUAAAUAUUUAGGAAAAUCCGAAUAUUAUAUAUACCGAGGCAUUAUGACGAAACUUGUAAAAGUGUAAGUAAUUAAUACCAUGCUUCCUAGAAAAAUCUCUAAAUAUUAGUUAAUAUUAAAUCGUACUAUAAACCGACACAGGUGGUUAGGUAGAAAAUACUAAGGCGCUUGAGAGAACUCGGGUAAAGGAACUAGGCAAAAUAGUGCCGUAACUUAGGGAGAAGGCACACUAAUAUUAGGUGAUAGAAUUUUCUUCUUUAGCUGAAAUUAGUCUAAGAUAAAUGCUGGCUGCAACUGUUUAUUAAAAACACAGCACUGUGCAAACACGAAAGUGGAAGUAUACGGUGUGAUGCCUGCCCGGUGCCGGAAGGUUAAUAAAGAAGGUUAGAAUUUAUUUUCGAAGCUUUUAAUUGAAGCCCCGGUAAACGGCGGCCGUAACUAUAACGGUCCUAAGGUAGCGAAAUUCCUUGUCGGGUAAGUUCCGACCUGCACGAAUGGCAUAAUGAUGGCCAGACUGUCUCUACCCGAGACUCAGUGAAAUUGAAAUUGCUGUGAAGAUGCAGUGUACCUGCGGCAAGACGGAAAGACCCCGUGAACCUUUACUAUAGCUUAAUAUUGAAUAUUAAUUAUUAAUGUGUAGAAUAGGUGGGAGACUUUGAAGUAAAGACGCUAGUUUUUAUGGAGUCUACAGUGAAAUACCAUCCUUUAAUAUUUAUUAUUCUAAUCAUUUUCCGUUAUCCGGAAUUGAGACAAUGUUUGGUGGGUAGUUUGACUGGGGCGGUCUCCUCCUAAAGAGUAACGGAGGAGCACAAAGGUCAGCUAAUUACGGUCGGAAAUCGUAAUGUUAGUGUAAAGGCAUAAGCUGGCUUAACUGUAAGCGUGACAACGCGAACAGAUGCGAAAGCAGGUCUUAGUGAUCCGGUGGUUCUGUAUGGAAAGGCCAUCGCUCAACGGAUAAAAGGUACUCCGGGGAUAACAGGCUGAUAUCGCCCAAGAGUUCAUAUCGACGGCGAUGUUUGGCACCUCGAUGUCGGCUCAUCACAUCCUGGGGCUGUAGUAGGUCCCAAGGGUAUGGCUGUUCGCCAUUUAAAGUGGUACGCGAGCUGGGUUUAGAACGUCGUGAGACAGUUCGGUCCCUAUCUGCCGUAGGCGUAGGAAAUUUGAAGGGAGCUGCUCCUAGUACGAGAGGACCGGAGUGGGUGUACCUCUGGUGUUCGGGUUGUUGUGCCAACAGCAUUGCCCGGUAGCUAAGUACAGACAAGAUAAGUGCUGAAAGCAUAUAAGCACGAAACUUACCCUAAGAUUAAAUUUCCCAGAAAAUUUUUAUUAAAUUUUCCUAAAGGAUUGUUAUAGACUAUGACUUUGAUAGGUCAGAUGUGUAAGCAUAGUAAUAUGUUAAGCUAACUGAUACUAAUAAUCCGUGAGUCUUAACU